RNAcentral lists this long non-coding RNA (12474 nucleotides) under Mytilus galloprovincialis (Mediterranean mussel). The record is from RNAcentral. Lineage: Eukaryota; Metazoa; Mollusca; Bivalvia; Mytilida; Mytilidae.
CGUGAAAAUUUAAAUGUACAGGUAAAUCCAAAACCUUAUCAAUAUUUUACUGAUUUGAACAGGUAUUUUAUCUGUAAAGUAUAAACAGUAGGAAAUAUAUUAGCAGAAACUAUGACUUACAAGGUAUGUUUAGUUGUGAUAUAUAUCUACAGCUUAUUUCCUAAUGCUUGUAGAGAGAAACUUUGGUAGGCUUUCUUGUCCAUGCUCUUUUGUAAAAAUGGUAAUUCAAGCUCUGUUGUUAAGAUUGAUUGUUGUUAAAGGAUUCAAUAAGUUAGAAACAUGCUGCCAUAUUAUGGCAUAAUUGUAAAGCUGAAGUUAUUUUAAACUGUUGUCAAAGAAACUGCUAAAAAAAAGUAGAAACAUGCUACCAUAUGGCAUAAUUGUUAAACUGUAUCUAUUUUAAAGUGUUGUCAAAGAAACUGCUAAAAAAAGUAGAAACAUGCUACCAUAUGUCAUAAUUGUUAAACUGUAUCUAUUUUGAAAUACCUAGUCAAGUUUAAGUAAAGGUGGAGGUUAUAAGUAAAUUAUGCCUAUUGUACCAAAACUUUAUUUCUCCAUGGCAACACAAUCCUAAAUAUUUAAAAAAAAAAAACCAACUAAAACAUGCAAGGAUAACACAGUAAAGCCAGCAACCAGUUUCUGAGUUUAUGUGCAAUGGGGUUCUUCAUAUAUAAGCAGCGACUUAAAUGGCUAUUCUAGAAUGUAAAAUUCCAAACAUUCGCGGCAUCGUGGUAAUUUCAAUUCUUGAUAGCAUAAAACAAAUGUCUUUGUUUUCGUACAUUUUUUUUUAUGAGUGUUGCAUAGUUAUAAUAGUUUGACCUUGCAUUGUGGUUGCAGUAAUCGUUAUGUUAUUCCAAUAAAUUGUUUUGCAAAUAUUAGUAAUUAGUAAGUAGUUACAAGGAUUCAUUACUUAUAUACGUCCUUUAAAGAAACAAUCAGUGGUCAAACCAAGGUAACCAAGGUAACAUAGAUACAAAAACAUGCAAAAAAACAAGGUCGAUCAUGAGGUUUGUCUGCCUUUUUAUUUAGUCUCAUUAUUUUUAAGGGAGAGCAAAUAGGUAUUACAAUAAAACGUAUGCCUUACUUUGGUAAUUUCUAUGGUGUGGACUAUUCGUCCAAUAUAAAUAAAUAAGAACAUAAAAAAUAUAGGCGAUACAAUUAAAUCCAGGCAGACUAGCUCACAAGAGGUGUUAUGUAAAAUUUAAAUGUACAAGUAAAUCCCAAAUCUUAUCAAUAUUUUACUGAUAUGAACAGGUAUUUUUAUUUGUACUGUACAAACAAUAGGACACAUCUAACAAGACAGAUUAUAUAGAGAAAGGACGCACAAGGUAUGUUGAGUUGGGAUUUCGCACAAAAUUACUUCUAAAUAUUUGAAGUUGAAAAAUAAAUAUUGCAAAUUGGACAUGGCUGCUAUAUUAUGAUACAGCUUUUCUGAUUUUAUUAAGAGAAGUAAAAGUAAAAAUGAAAAUACAUUAAGAUUAAUAACAUCAAUGCUUUACAAAGGUGAUUACAAGUUCAUAACUCAAUUUAAGGUAUACCAUAAAACCUCUUUUUGACUAUGGAACAUUAAUACACAAACACAAAAUGCUGAAUACUUUCAAACUUGUGAAAACCGCACAACUUAUUUUGGUAUGCAUAGGUCUCUAUAUGUAUAUUCUCACGAGCCCGGAAAUUUCAAAGGUAGAGAGAUGAUUAUACAUAUUUCAUAUUUGCAUUUGCAUGGCCUCUAGGCAUGCACGUCUAUACAUGUACAAUUGUGGUUUAGAAAUAACUUUUAAUUAGUAUGAUUACCGACGUGUUACAACUAUUGAUUUGUUAGCUUCAUGAUACAAAGAAGUGUUACUUUCCAAUUAUUCCGACUCUAACAGUCCACCCGCUAUUGGCUAACGACUAGCUGUUCAGUAAUUAUUAAAAUAUUACUUUUAUGCAGAGAUGUUAUUUUUCUUCAAGUUACUGGCAUGUAGUAUAUUUUUUAACCACCUUGGACAUCGUCCAUAGCGGGAAAAUGUUUAAUCCGAGAUAAACAAAAGCUAUAGAACUAUAAUAGAACAAGAGUGCACACGCUGAAAUGUCUCGCCUUCUUCAUUAAUCAUUGAUAUAAUGCGGAUAGUCCUAAGUAUAAAGCUUUAUUACAACUGUCACAUAAACUUAACCAAGAAAACUAAACAUUGACCAAUGAACCAUGCAAAUAAGAUCAAGGUCAGAUGAACCAUGCCAGGCAGACAUGUACAGCUAACAAUUAUUCCAUACAACAAAUAUAGUUGACCUAUUGCAUAUAGUUUAAGAAAAACAGACCAAAACACAAAAAUAACACUUAGCAAUGAACCGUGAAAAUGAGGUCAAGGUCAAAUACAAACUGUGUGACUGACAAAUAGAUCAUAAAAUAUUUCCAUACACAAAAUAUAGUUGACCUAUUGCAAUUAGUAUUAGAAAAAAAGACCAAAACUCAAAAACUUAUUUUUGACCACCGAACCAUGAAAAUGAGGUCAAGGUCAGAUGACACCUGCAAGCUAGACAUGUACACCUUUCAAUCAUUCCAUACACCAAAUAUAGUAGACCUAUUGCAUACAGUAUAAGAAAAACGGAUCAAAACACAAAAAACUUAACUAUAACCACUGAACCAUGAAAAUGAGGUCAAGGUCAGAUGACACCUACCAGUUGGACAUGUACACCUUACAGUCCGUCCAUACACCGAAUAUACUAGACCUAUUGCUUAAAGUAUCUGAGAUAUGGACUUGACCACCAAAACUUAACCUUGUUCACUGAUCCAUGAAAUGAGGUCGAGGUCAAGUGAAAACUGUCUGACGGGCAUGAGGACCUUGCAAGGUACACACAUAUCAAAUAUAGUUAUCCUAUUACUUAUAAGAGAGAAUAUAACAUUACAAAAAAAACUUAACUUUUUUUCAAGUAGUCACUGAACUAUGAAAAUGAGGUCAAGGACAUGAAGGAAACUUCGUAACAUGAGGCAUUUAUAUACAAAGUAUGAAGCAUCCAGGUCUUCCACCUUCUGAAAUAUAAAGCUUUUAAGAAGUUAGUUAACGCCGCCGCCGCCGCCGCCGGAUCACUAUACAUAUGUCGAGCUUUUUGCAACAACAGUUGCAGGCUCGACAAAAACCAUAAAUGAUUUUUUUAUAGUUAUAACCAUGCUCCUUUGGUAAAGCUCCCCAUGUAUUCACCCAUCGUUUGUUUUGCCAGCGUUAGGUUUGCUCUAGUUUAGAAAGUAAUUUCUUAAUUUCAUCUAGUUUAAUAAACGGAAUAUUAAAUUCAACACCAGCCGAGGACGUAUAACUAACAGUUAUACGUCCUUGCACCAGCUGGUAUUUUAUCUUGAAAGUAUUCAUUUAAUUCAUUUGCUUGAAAUUGCGUGUUUUUUGCAACAUAGUUAUCACCUAGUUUUGUAAAGUGUGUCUUGAAACGAGCUACCAUAUUCUGUAUUGUCAAAAUUCAUGGUAGUUGGAAUUUCAUUGUGUUCUUUGGCUUUGAAAUAUUUAAGUAAAGCCCAAAUUUCUUUCGUUUUUUUUUUUUAAUUUUCUUUUGCUUGCUUGAAAAAGAGGACUGUUUAGAUUUUUCUAUUAAUUUGGUACCUUUGUUGCGCCUAUAACGGAAGUUUUUCCAAUCCUUCUUGCUUUGAUAGUAGUUUCUUCUCUUUUGUGCAUAUUUCACCUCAUCAGUAAGCCAAUCUGGUUGGCGUACAUGUGUUUUAUUCUUAUAACUUUGACUAGAGCGAAUCUGAUAAUUACUGACAGAAAUAAUUUAUACCACAUGUCACUUAUUUUUUUCUAUUUGAGCAAAAUUUGUCUUAUUUAAAUCCUCCAAAAAAUUGUUGUCAUUAAAAAUUUUGCAACUUUUUAUGUUGUAAGCUUGGGAUAUCUUUUGGUUUUUAUUACUCGCAAUGCAUACUGGAUAUAGUGAUCACUAUAAUGGCUAUUAUGGAGACAUUUGUUUCAACUAUAUUUUCAGGGUAGUAAGUAUAAACAGGAUCAAUGAUAGUACUUGUGAUACGGGUAGGAUUAUUUAUUAAUUGUACAAAAGCAUGUGCAUGUGAAAGAUUUCCCUAUUUAUUGUUCAAGCAACCCCCUGUAAAAUCAAUAUUGAUAUCGCCCAUUAUGAUUUCUAGUUCUAAUUAAUUUACAUGUUUACAUGUUUACAUGAGAAAUUUUUAAUUCAAUUUUCUUGAAGCCAAAAUAUGUUUCUUCUAAACCUUUUGAAGGAUAUUUUUUUUCCAUAUUUUGAAUUUUUGUUGCUUCUAUUGAUUCUUUUCUUGUAUUAUUUAAAGAUCUUUUGUUCUUUAAAGUAGUGUUUUGAAAGUGUAGGGUUUUUUCUUCAUUUAUGAAAGUAUAGUAUUGAUCGUUUUCGAUUUCUUUACAUUUACAUUCAAUAUGAUCACACAAGGUACAUGUGUUAUAUAUUAAACAUUAAAAUAUGUUCAUUGUUUGGAAAAGAAAAGUUUCGGUAUAACAUGCAUUGCCAGUGUCCUAAUUUGAUGAAUAUACCAGCAUUUUUUCAUUUUUAGAAAACAAAGACACAUUUUGAAAAUAAUUUAUAUCAUUGUAAAAUAAUCUUAAGAAUAUUGAUUAGGAGAAGGCAUUUUUCCAAAUUUCCCCAUCAACAUACAGUAUAAAAUUCAUUAUCAUAUUUAAUUCGCUUUCUAGAAUUAAAACAGUACUUUUAUAUAUAAGAGGAUAUAUUUACUUUAAAAUCAUGCCAAAAGAUUCAUCAGUUAUAAUUUUGUAAAUACUGCAGUUAUAACAUCACAAUACUCACACGAUAUACACAAUGAUAAGUCAAGUUUAAAAUCAGUCAGCAUGAUCAGAGUCGAUAGAAAAGUUACGAAUACAUUUUGCUGAAAUAUUAAAGACAUUUCCUAGCACAUAAAAAAACACAUUGAAAUAUAUCUAAGACAAAACUGUAAAGGUAUAUUAUUGUAUUAUAUAUAGUACUAGUAUUUAUCCAGUUGAUUUGAUGACUUUUUAACUGCUCAAAUUGAGUCGGUUUUAAUGAGUGGUAACUAAAAGUAGAAAAAAAAUAGUCCAUUAGCCUCAAAAGACACAUAAAAGAGAAGUAGUUUUUAAUUACUUUUUACCAAUAUAAUAGAAGUUAUCAACUAAGCGUCAGAUCCCAAACCUCACAUUAUGAAUUUUAAUCGCCUUUUCUUCGUGCUAAUGUUUUGCUGUCGCGUCACUGUCCCGGGUAGUGAGGAGGUUGUGCGUUCACAUGUAUGUUUGCCCCAACCAUAAUUUUUGUGUCCAUGUCCCACAGAUGUGCCUUUAAGUAAGUGGUAUUCUCUGGUUGCUGUCUACCAUAUUUUUUAUACAUUUAUUGUUGAAAAAUCAACAAGGUCGUUGGUUUACUCGUUUGAAUUAUUUCAUGACAUUUAGUCGUCUGGGACUUUGAUGGUUUACUACACGGUUUGCAUUUUGUGUUUUGCGCGUUGUUGAGGCCGCAUGGUGACUGUACUUUCUUUAAUUUGUUUUUGUCCUUUUGUGUCUGGUGGAAAGCGGUGUUCAUUAUCACUGAACUAGUAUAUAUUUGUUUAGGGGCCAGCUGAAGGACGCCUCUGAGUGCGGGAAUUUCUCGCUGCAUUGAAGAUCUGUGACCUUCUGCUGGUGUCUGUUCUAUGGUCGGGUUGUUGUCUCUUUGACACAUUCCCCAUUUCCAUUCUCAAUUUUAUAAUUGGCAAUCAUACCACAUCACUUUAUUUUAUCAUUUAAUGUCAUAUAACGUGAAGCCUUUCCAUCACAGCAAACUGAAGUUGCCAUUGACUGAUUAUAGAGUUUUUCAAGCUCAUCGGCUCCGAAGUAUGGUGGCUAAGAGCAUUGACUGCGAAAUAUGGUGGCCAAGAGCAUAGGCUGCGAAAUAUUUUGACCAAGAGCAUAGGCUGCGAUGUAUGGUGGCAGACACGUAUAUUGGUUGCACUAGAGUGCAUUGUUCAACGAAAAAACAUUGUCUCAUUCAGUGUAACAUGCAUCUAUCGUUGCAUAGAGCUGAUAUUACGUGGAGAGAAAAAACGAUUUAACACAGAAUUGAAUUGCACGAAAAUCCAUUUAAUGAUUUGGCUUGCCUCUUUUGAGAUAAUAUUUCCAAUAAAUCUAUUUACAACACUCCGUUUCGCAGAAAAAUAUGAUGUUAUCAGCCCUGCACUUAAACAGUCUACCAGGAUCGAACAUAUAUACACAUGGAAAAAAGUAUUGCAACACCAAAUUGAAAUUGAAAUUAAAAAAACACUCUUUAUUUUUUUGUGAUAUAAUUUGGUAAAAUAGAACUAGUUAAACAUUAUUUAAGUAUCACAUGAGUUUAAUCAAUAGAUAUCGACUCGAUAAGUUUUUAUCUGCACAUGCAGCUACUGUACCCGUAAACAGCAAAACAGAUGUUUUCAUCCUCAUUGUUUUCAACACUUUAAAUAACCAAGUUUUUAAAGUUAUGUGAUUGACACCUUGUUAUGGGUCCUUGACAACUCUUAACUGCAGCAAGAUGGCAGAUUAUCAGCAUAAGAGAAGCAGGGAUGUCGCUGUAACAACUUACGUAUUGUUGGUCAUCACCAUUCCACUAUAAGUCGUUUUGAGAAUAAAAAUCAGGCAAUAGACGCUGUUAAAGACCUUCCAAGAUAAUGAAGACCCCUUAUACCAUUUGCUAGGGAAAAUCAAGCAUAAUGAAGGUUGGUCAGAAGGAAACCCAUUGCAUACAAGACAAUUCCUAAAAGAGAGUGGUGGCCAUACAGGAGCCUUUUAACAAGAACUGUUCGAGAUCGACUCAUCGCUACUGGUUAUCGUGCGACAAGACCAUUUCGGAGACCUUUGCUAACGAACAGACACACAGUUUUCCGUAUCACACGUAGUGCAGAGCUCGCCAAAGUUGGAAAUUAGCCUCGUGGAGGAAGAUCCAAUGUUCAAAUGGAAUUCGGUUCAUCUUCCUUGGCCCGAUCGUAGCCCGGAUUUGAACCAUAUCGAGCAUAUUUGGGACACUAUUGGGCGGAAAGUGCACGAAAGGACACCGCAGUUCAAACACAUCAUGAAAUAAACAAUGCCCUUCAUCAGAAAUGGUUGCUGCUACCUUAGCAACAAAUUAGUCGAUUUUUGGCAGGAAUCAGAAGACGUUUAGAUGCGGUUAUCCGUUUGAAUGGAGGCUGCGCACAAAGUACUAAUUCUUUGGCGUAUAACGAACAACCAUGAUGUGAACAGUCAUCUGAACAUUAAUUUUGAAAUGUCUGACAUUGUAAAGUUCGACUACAGUAAAAGUUGUAAAAUGCAUUUUUUUGUACCACUUCAUUUUGUUAUUAAAAUUGUGGUUAUAUAAAUCAUUUUUUUUUUUCAAACAUUUUUUGUUCGUUUCAAUGCCAAUGUUAUCAUAAACUAUGUUUUAAUAAUAUUAUACAUAUAUUUCAUCCAAAAAAAGGGGCUGAUUUUUCAAGUUUUAAAAAAUCAAGGUGUUGCAAUGCUUUUUUCCAUGUGUAUAUUUACGGAAAAUUGAAAAUAAUCAUUUACAUGUUCUGUGAAUGUUCAAAAUACGGUUAUAUAGAGCCAACAGAUGUACAUUUUAACCCUUGGGUUGAACAUUUCAACAUGGUUCAUCUAACAAAUUCAAUGAUUUUUUGUUUCUUUGUCUGCAGUACACAAAGCCUCAUUGUAUUGGUAAAUAAUGAUUACUUUCAUCUCAUUCUUAUUUUAUAUUGUUUUCCAUUGUCGGGAUGAUAUCAUUCUCAACAUCCUCUUCAAAUCGAUAUUUACUGUUUAUAACAAACAUCCGUAGUGCAUUGUUUAUAGCGCAUCGGACUGCUAACACAAAGGUUCCUGGUUCGAUCCCCGCUCCGGGAGAAAAUUUCAGGGACUGAAUUUUCGGCUCUCCUUUGACAACAGUAUGGUAUUGAGAAACGAUGAUAGUCCGUCGGGAGAGGACGAUUAAUGGCUGACCCAUGUUAAGAGAGCUCGCUUCACUUGCACGUUAAAGACACCCUUGUAAAUUUCGAAAAAAAAGAGUAGGCUAAUGCCGAUACAAGGCAUCACUCACACCCGCAAAGUGGAAAGGGAUUAAUAUAAGUUGUAAUAACUUGUUUCCCAUUCCACUAUAAAUAAGUAUGUUAAAAACAUCCUUAACCAUGAUAAAUAAAAAAAAAAUGAUUUCUCCGAUUUCACACACGGAAAAAUUACUAUAUAUUUGAGAACAGAUAUAAUAAAAUAUUAAUGAAGGAGGUCUAAACUGAUGCUUACAUUCAGCGAAGAAUGUUGCCCUACUGUUAUAUCCAUAUUUUGUUUGCUGGUAAGAGUGAUAUACAGAGGCGGAUGUAGGGGGCAGGGGACCUGGGCCCGCCCUUUUGAGAAAAGAAAAAUUGGUUAAUUUUAUAGGGAAUCACUGUAGCAUAACGGGAGCGGGUCCCAUCUUAGGCAGCCACUGGGUCCCCACUUAUGAAAAUUUCUAGAUCCGCCACUGAUAUAAAUUUAAAUAGAAUGCAAACACAGCGGUUACAAGAGAUUAAGAAUAACUAUAUGAUUCAGAAUCCGAGUUCCAGUAACACUAGGUAAGCUGUAUAUAUGGUGAUCUCAAAAUAAUGUGUUAGCUAAUCAAUUGAUCCAUACUCAAUCUUUGUGUGAUACCUAGGAUAAACCUAUAUAUCAAAUCUCGUUUACUGAUGGGCGGAUAGGACUUUUGUUCUCUAACAGAAAUGUUCAGAAUUUCAAAAAUUACACAACCAUAUUUUUUGGCUCUUGUUAUCAAAUUAUUUGUAUUGUUUACAUUAAAAAUUUGUAAGGGUUCCGCGGAACCCAGAGUCUCGUCUACUUUUGCUGUUAAUCGCAGGCUCGACAAAAAUGAAGAAAAUUUUAUAAUAGUAUUCCUCUUCAUACUAUCUUUUGAUUGAAAGCAGCUUCCGUCCAAGUUUGGUAAAAAUAUAAGAUGGUUUAUGAAUCUUACACAUUUAAAAAAAAAAAUCAUUUUUAACUGCAGACUGUAUGUAAUGUUAACUGGAAGAAAACACUAAGUCCAUUUAUAAGUAAAAUACGUAAAAAGUGGGUUUUUUUCUACAAAAUUUACUUCUGGAUACUAUCUUAUGAUCACAAAAAAGCUUCUGUCCAAGUUUGGUAGAAAGCCAGGAUAGUUUAAGAAAGUUAUCUAAAAUUUCAAAACUUUUAACCACAGAGUGAAUAUUUGUGGACGCAGCCGCCGCCGACGACCACGACCACGACGCCGACGAAUUGUAGGAUCGCAUAUAUGUCUCGCUUUUUCGACAAAAGUCGAGGGCUCGACAAAAAUCACAUUUAUGUUCAUUGUUAGAUAUGCUGUCUUAACUGACGAAUAUUUGAAGGGUACUGGAAAAUACUAUUAAUCGUUUAAUUAUUUGUCGUGUAUUUUUAUUCGCAGUUUGCGUGACAUACAUGUAGGUAUAACAAUCCGGUGGCCUCGACGGCGACAACGUAAACUUUUUGUUUAAAGAUGCAUAUUUCAGUAGGUUGAAGAUCUGGUUGUUUCAUACUUUGGAUGCAGAUACCUUGUAUUACGAAGUUUCUGUCUGUCAUAUGUCCAUUGUCCUUGACCUCAAUUUGAUAGUUCAGGGAUUUCUUACAAAAUUACAGUUUAUUAUUGUUGAGUGCAAUACUUGAAAUUUUUAUUGGCUCCUUGCAACGUCUUCAUGUUCGUCAGGUAGGGUUCACCUGACCUCGACCUUAUUCCAUGGAUCAGUGAUCAAGGAUAAAGUUACGUGUUCAAGUUUCUUAGAUACUGUAGGCAAUACUAUUUAUGUUGUAUGGAAUGAAUGUAAGGGUUGCAUGUCUGACUGACAGGUUUCCUCUGACCUUGACCUCAAUUUCAUGGUUCAAUGAACAACGUUUGGUUUUUUUUUGGGGGUUUGGUCUAUCGGAUCGAAUCGGAUAUUUUCCUUCGAUAUCAAACUGUUGCUAGGUAAAAUAAAAUUCUAACAUAUUUUUGAUUUAGUAUUUUAUUAUUUUCAUACAUAACUACACUAAAGAGGAGGGCAAUAGCACAGGCACUUGUCUCAGAAUCCCCCCUUUAUAUACCUUAAUAUAACAGGUAUAGAGGAAAUAUUUUUCUGAGACAAUGCCUGUGGGCAAUAGGCAACAAUAUGCCUACUCCGGAAAAUUGUUUUAAUCAAUUAUAAAUGCUCAUUUAUCUGUGUUUGUCGUUUGUCGUUUGUUUCAUUCAAAGGUAGCUUUGGUAGCCAGUGGCGGAUCCAGAAAUUUUUCUAAGUGGGGCCCACUGACUGACCUAAGAGGGGGUCCGCUCCAGUCAUGCUUCAGUGAUUCCCUAUAUAAGCAACCAAUUUUUUUUAUCCAAAAAGGGGGGCCCGGGCCCCCUGGGCCCCCCUAAAUCCGCCUCUGGUAGCCUUUUUCACGUGAGUGUACCACGCCCCUGUGUCUAUUAUCACGUGAAACAAAUAAAGUGUCUUAAGUAUGAAAUUAAGUAUAUAUGCUUGACGCUUAGCUACAUCAUGUUUGUAAUAUUUCAUAUUUAAUUCAUAUUUUUAUUUUCCGUUUCCUUUCUCAAAUGAGUACACAUUUCCGGAAAAAAUGGGAAGUAUUUUGUCAGUCAUCAACAAGAAAAUUGUAGAUUAACACAUUUUUCAUACUUUAAAAAAGUAUUGAUUUUUAUUUCAGGGAUAAAAUCAGGUGUUUACGUUUUCAUCUAGUGUCUAGGAACUAUGUGAUCAUUUCACACGAAGAUCGACUUGCUUGCAGAAAGAAAUAAUACGGUUUAGUCAAAUGUUGUUUAGUGUACAACGAGGGCAUAGCCUCUAAAUUGUUGGAUAUAUUGUGCAAACUAAAAUGUGAAGAAAAAAACCCAAGACAAGACAGCAGCUUUUAUCUAUUUAUACCAUAACAACUUUUGAAAACAGCACCAACAGCUGGAUAUAUGUAUGUAUACCAUUAGCAUAACAACUUUGAGAAACAACGCAGACAGCUGAGUAUAAUUUGAAACAGCAAUGUUGUCAUACCACGAUUCUAUGAACAGCUAUAUGCUUAUUUAUGCUUGUUUGAUAUGCAGUGUACUUGGAUUGACUUUAGUUUCAUAUUUUCUGGCACAUACAUUCAAGACAUGCAAACAAUGGCUGAGAUAAAACUAGACGGCUCAAACAAUGGUUUGAGUAGUAGAUAGUAUAACAGUGCAUAACGUAUCUCAGCAAAUAUUGGACAUGAGGAUUCGGGAGACAGUGGACGAAAUGAUGUCCGUGCAUUUGCAGCAAUAUUAACUUAAAUGUACUUUGACAUAUCCAAUGAGAAAAUUGCCUAUAAUUUCUAAACCAUUGAUACAUUUUGUGUGUACAGACACUGAUUUGAGGAAUAUUUUCAUGUUUUGGUUGCAUACAUAUAUAUUGUUUUCUCGUUUUGUGAUAUCUUACUAUAUUGUUCGGUAUUUCGAUAUAGUACAUAUCACAAAUGUUGAUAUUGUAUAACAAAGUAAAGUGCUUUCUACUUCAUCAUUGGGUGUUGCUAAACGGCGGAAACGGAAUACGGAACGGAAACGGAAACUGAAAGAAUUGACAUCUUUUCUUUUUGGUUAUCUCAUCUAAAUAGGCAUGUUUUAUAAAGUAUAACACAUGUUUACAAGAAAGAACAACAGAGGAAUAAAUCUGAAAUAAAAGAUUUUAGAGCAUAAAGUGCAGGACAUAUCAUGAUGAAAUACAAGAUCCUAGGCUAGAUCAUGCAUACGUCGUUUAUGUGAUUCAGGAAACGGUUCGACUUUUCUUAUUUAAAAAAAGUUGAAUAAAUGUCAAUAAGAUAGUAACCCAACAGCACAAAAAUAAAUUUACAUAUGGCCAAAAAGGUGGACAUUGGCCUCAAUUCUAUAGAUAGGUUGUGAAGUAAUACAUUUUGGGGAAAUGCUUUUCAUCAUUUUUUUCUUUUAAUUCAUUUUCAAUUGUCUUGAAUUUUAUGUGGUGUAUCUUGUUGGGUCUUGUUGCGUUGUUCUGCAUUAGUGAUUUUCGUUGUAACUUUUCGUGUAUAAUGGAAAGAAAACUAAAAAGAAACCUAAUGGGACAAUGAGCACAAGGACAACAACCGAUAAGGAAACCCGGGAACUAGAAUAAUAUAAUCUUUAUUUUUAUGUAGAAAAUAAUUAAAUUUACAAAAUCACUCACUAUACAAACCUUUCUCACCCGAUUACAAUACUGAAGUACGCUGUUUAGUAUUACCGCCGGAAAAGCAAAUAUGCAACUACUAGAAUUUAAAACAAUAAAUACGAAUUGAUGUGAAACAAUGCGAAAUUAGUAGCCUACAUGGAUAUACAAUUUGCACAGUUCCCUUACCAAUAUAGUCGUAGUCAUGACCUAUGCCUUUCAAACUCCAAAUGUCCAUACUAAGUCAGCUUUAAAUAUCAUACCGCUUAUUUCUUCUCUGAAAAAUCAGCCCCCCUCAAGUAGCCGUGAUUUUUUCAGUCUUCAUUUUUCCAAUGGAAAAUAGUGUCACUCAUUCAGUAUGAUGUUUUACUAUUAUUCAAAACAUUCAAAGAUAGUCGAAAGAUACCACAGGG